UUAGCAAAAUCUCUUGCUGUGUCGGUAUUUCCAGAAGGUCCUUAGCACUCACCAGGAACAGUGGUUGCCUCUAGGAAUGAAAUGGGAUGACGGAAGACCUGGGGAGCAGUGGCAGGAGGAGACACUCAUGAUGCGCCUUUUGGCCAUAGGAGGAGGGAGAGGAGAAAUGAGGAAAAAAAGCCAAAUUUUUUCCUUCAAAGUCACUGUCAUGGCUAAGAAAGCAACUCCAACCCACACACUGCAAAUAUGAAGGACCACAAAAGGCACGCAGGCUCUGGUUUGCAUAGUGAAGAUGAGCGACCGUGUUCCUAAGCAUGAAGGACCAUGAAAGGCACGCAGGCUCUGGUUUGCAUAGUGAAGAUGAGCGACCGUGUUCCUAAGCAUGAAGGACCACGAAAGGCAUGCAGGCUCUGGUUUGCAUAGUGUGGAUGAGCGACUGUGUCCCUAAGCAUGAAGGACCACGAAAGGCAUGCAGGCUCUGGUUUGCGUAGUGAAGAUGAGUGUCUGUUCCUAAGCAUGAAGGAGGACCACAUGAGGAUCCUGGACACCUACUGCAUGAAUGUAUUCACCCUUUCAGGUCUAGGGACCUGGUAACCAUUUAUUAUUUGUACUCUGAUUUUCUUCCAUUUCUUUCUCCAGUCCAUAAAUGUAACUUAAGUGACUUAUUAACACUGAUGGUUUGAUCACCAAUAGCAAGUUCCAGUUUCAGUCUUAGUGUAGGUGCCCUUAUUACAGACUUGAGAUAAAGUCCAAGGCUAACCACUCUUACAAGUUUACACUUUGCUAAAGGGUACCUUGGGACAGAGGGAGUGCAGAGCAGAGAAAACCUACCUGUGCAACUGAGAAGGCCGCUCAGGCCACGGGGACAGGGCAGGAAUGCUCUCAGGAGUGUCCCCUGCACCUGAACUUGAUUUCACGCCAUCACCUUCCGCCUCUUAACCAGCAUCUCCUGGACAGUCAGCCGAGUGUUUCCAUGAUACCAGCCAUACCUGAUGCCAGGAGACUCGCUACACUUGGAAGCUCUUCAAGGCAUGCUUAUCUUUGUGAACUGAAUCUUGGAGAAGCAGGAUUGAAAAUAAGAGCUAUCUUUGAGGCUCUAGCACCUACAAGAGACACCCUCCCUCUCCACCGUGGAUCACCUGUCUCACCCGUGUGAGUCUCCACACAGAAACCAGUCAUGGCCCUGCCUUUGCCCCCCUUGAAAUCACCCAAGAGGAUGCUUCAAACUCAGGCAAGCACAACUGAUACUCACUCUGCAUGCGACAGCAGGGGAGUGACCUUACGAGAAACUAAUGGGCCUCGCUUCCUGAGAAUCACUGUCAGAGCCCGUAACAUAAGAUAAAUCACAGCCAAGGAUUUUUGAAAAGUUUCCUGAUGAGAGAACCAUGACCUUUUCAAGGGUAGUGAUGGAUUGAUCAGGGCAAGCAAUAGGUAGAUUUUUUAAAACAAGCCUGGCGAAAAAAACAAUGAUAUAUAUCUACCAAAGUUGGCUGGAAUACCCGGCUGGUGUCCCAGUCAGGAAACACAGGAAAAGGUUACAUCUGUAGAAAGAAAAACAGCUUGUUAAGCAAAACAAUGCAGUUAAAAACCAAGCUCACUGUAAGAAAUGCCGCGUGGGCCAGUGGGGACGGCCAUGCCGAAAGCGCUCAGUGCUCCUGAAGCUGGGUGGCCAGGUGUUUUCACACAAAAAGGCCUU
RNAcentral lists this long non-coding RNA (1696 nucleotides) under Homo sapiens (human). RNAcentral describes it as "HSALNT0082742". Lineage: Eukaryota; Metazoa; Chordata; Mammalia; Primates; Hominidae. The record is from RNAcentral.